This is a long non-coding RNA of Anopheles gambiae (African malaria mosquito), 15750 nucleotides long. RefSeq lists it as uncharacterized. The record is from RefSeq and is a predicted model, not a curated record. The transcript is spliced from 2 exons. NCBI's taxonomy places the organism in Eukaryota, Metazoa, Arthropoda, Insecta, Diptera, Culicidae.
UCUCCAGCGUUCUCCACAAACACACAGACUCCAAGCAGUCGGCCACAGAAGAAGGCAGGGGAGUAGGUGGCGCCUCUCUAACUUUGGUAUUCGUUCCAAGAAACACGGUGAGCGGUUUCUAUCGCACAGGGGGAACAUUCUUCGCUAAAGCACGCACAACACACGCACACAACCGUACUACACUACACCCCUAUUACGGAUGUUUACGCCGAAGAAUGCACCCAGCGGCCCAACCCGGUCGUCGUGCAUGAGAAGAAGUUUACUGCCGUCCUUCUUUCCUGUUCGUUUCCAAUAAGAAUGUUCGAUUGCAGUUUGAAUGCAUUCGAUUCGAAACAAUGGAGCCUUUCUUUCUGACUCGACUUCUGUCUAACAGGAUGUGGAAGAUUGUUUGUGCAAAUAAUGUGCAAUACUUGGCAUUUGUGGAUAGAGAAUGAAUGGCAAAGAUUGCAAGGUAUAAGGUAAAGCUAAAUGACAAAUAAAUGCAUUGCAUAUUUACAUUAUUGAUAAUUUAAAAGCAGCAAUUGAACAAACUGAAGUCACAUGUGAUGUUAUCAAGUUCUUUUUCAAGUUGUUGUUAUCCAGUGAUACUCUCAAUAUCACAAAUUCAUCACAAUAUAUCGCAAACUUAGUUUACCAUGUCGCAGCUUUAGACGAUUAUUCAGAACAACUUAACGAACGAACAAAAUUGGCAUUUGCCUUAUCGAUUUUUCCUACCUUUUAUAUGGUUUUUAGAAUGAUGAAAAAAAAUACAUAAAAUUGCAAUACACUACUAUGGUGUAACAUUUACCACCAAUAACAUCAGAGUGAAGAGCAAAAACCCACAAAAAAACCAUCGAACUACACAACAUACAUAAAAUCGAAAUGGAUUUUUUUAUGAUUCUUUUCUCGUGCAAACCAAGCAAGCAAUUUUGAUCUGCUUGGGGGCGCUCUCUCCGGGGUUAUUCUUAUGGGUGGUGGGUGGUUGGCCCCGCCGGAACGGCGCUGAACCAUUCAAUGGUUAACGAAAAAAAUAAACAAAAUACGAUCUUGCUUCCCGCUCGCACAAUGCAAUAAGAACGCUCGCGAAGGGAAAAGAGACGGCGCACGCACUAAACAACAAUUUACAGCUGAAGACGACCACACACACCACACAAAUGGAACGAAGGAAGGAAAAAGAUGGAGAGAAUGGAAUUCUUUUGAAACUAAGCCCCCCACAUAAAUCCGAAACCAAAAGAGAGAGAGAGAGAGAGAGAGAGAGAGAGAUAACGAAAGAGAAGCAAAUAAACCAAAGAAAAAAGCAUAAAAGUGCUAACAAAAACCCCAAGAAACAGUAAGAGAGACAUAACAAAAAAUGCACACAACACAACCAGCGGAGCAGGAGAAGGAAGGCACUGAAAAACAAGAAGCGGAAAAGCGAAAAGAACCAGGGCAACAUGAGAAAUACCAAAUUUGUACGAGAGCAUAACACAACAAAAAUGCUUGUGUGCCGACGAAGAAGAUCCCACACCGACAAGCGUUUUUCCUUCUCUUCGUUGCCUUUUUUUGUUAUGCUCGUUGUUUCAUUCUUCUUUUCAUGCUUAUGCUUUCAUUCUACUUUUCAUCCCUUUGCUGCUUUGCGCUCUCUUUCAUUCAUUGCUUGCUUGGGUUCGCUUCACUCUUUCGCCGUUCACGUUACACGUUCUCAUGCUUUAAUCUUCUUGCAUUUUGUUUUUCGUUUUCAUGUUGUUUCAUUCUUCAUUUACACACACACACUCUCUCUCUCUCACACACACAAUUUCCCAUUCGAUCGUAUGUGUGUACCAUUUUACGAUCCCGUUGAAUAGUAGUAAUGUGGCCGCUCGCUCGCUCUCUUUCACAUUCUUUCGUUACACCUCUGUGUCUAGAUUUCAUAAACUGCAACAACUCAACGUUUCCACGAUUUUUUCGCUGUGAAAGUUCCCUUCCACGUUGGCCGAUUGCCAGAGGGCGCAAGCAAGCAUGCAAGCAUGGAUAGGCAAUGGCGUUUUUCCCAAGGGAACCCUCCGGUGGGAAGUGUCCAACGACCACCGGUUUUGCUGGGUUGCGGCGCGCACGGGACAGAGAAUGUUGAAUGCCAUCCUACUUCUUCCACGUCAUUAAGGCGUGUAUGGUGCAGUCGCCCCGAGGAAACAAAAUCCGCAACGAAUUAUCCGAAUCUCUUCCCGAAAAAAUGCGUCCGAUCGCGAGCGAUUGUCUGUCCUUCUCUUUGGCAGGGGGUUUUAAAGGCUAUAUCCGCUUUCCGCGAUUCUCACCCUCCUUGCUUUCUUUAUGGUCCCUUCAUUUUUGGUGAUGCUGCUCUGCUUUGUUCUUCUGCACGGCGCAUUUAUUACUUACUUUAUGGCUGAGCAAAAAGGGAUUACUGAGGCCAACAAAAAAAAGCUUCCUGGGAAUUUGGGUUUCUCAGCGAUCCCCUCAUUACUAAAAACGAAAUAUACGUAAACAAAUCUCAGAGAAGAGGGUCGAUUGCAAUGCGCAAAAACAAAACAAUAACACGGAAACGGAACGCGAACGAAAAACAUCAAUAAACUGAGUCAACAUGCGCGCUUCCAUCUUCAAAGAGCCGUCUUAUCAAUAGCAAAACAAAACAACCUCGCAGUAAUAGAUGGGUGGUUGUUUUUGUUGACAUGCUGUACACCUUCAGUUAUCGUUGGAGGAGCGGAAAUACCCCAAAAUUCUGCGCAUUCUUCUAAUCUUCCCUUUCCGGCUCAACUCAAAAUUCCUGCCACCAUAAACAGGCUAUUCUACCCGGACGGCCGUAAAGAUCGUUGUGGGAAUCUUGAUUCGUCACUCUUUUCUACCGGAAGUAAGUAUUCAUCCUGUUUUCUUUUAACGUGCGUUAUAAGAAUUGUGCAAGGGUUUGCCCCCUUUGAAUCGAGACUUGCUUCUAUUUCUCUUACGCGUCAUAUGCUUGUUUCGAUGAUUAGAGGCACGAGUAAAACGUUAGGCCAUUAUUCAAAUUUGGAACCAUAACCAUUUAAGCGAGAUGAAUAAUUGAAGCAAUAAUUGAGCAUCAUUUGUCUUGAAUGGGAAUUAGAGUUCAUAUUAUCCUUCAUGCACCGGUUCCCGUUAUCUCCGUGGCGCAUUACUCUGCCUCUUUCGUUCUCUCUUUUUGGAAAAAGGAUAUCCCUUCAGUCCACAUGUAAGACCCUUUGCCAAGGUUUUUUGUUUCUCUCAGGAGUGGCGUCGCCGAUGGUGGUUUAUGGACCAUUUGAACAUAUCUCAGAUUACAACAUCCAACUAUUCCCACCAUCACCACACCACGAGAGGUCUUUGGGCCCACAGGAUCGAUGGGAACAAUUUUUGUCAAUCACAUCUCUCACACGGGAAGAACAGUCUCUUCUCGUCGGUGCGGGCGUGUGAAGCAGAGGCGACGUGCGAUCAUAAAAAAAACGCACUCACAAAACCGUUCUUCAAGGUCUACACGACUCCAUUUUCUAUUAGCGUCGGUUUCUGGUUGCAUCCUCUCGCUGGGUGGCGCGCGCACCAGGCAGACAAAGAAAUCCAUUGCAGUUUGUGGUUAAAAGCUGAACGCCAUCAACAAUAAUCAAUGAAAUUUUCCGUAACCAAAACACACAAACAAAGAGGGGUACUGAGAAUUAUACAGAAAUAGAGUCGGGCUUGAAAGAGGCCCUAACUCAGUUUUCCUUUUUUUAUGAAUGAAUCACACAUACAUCACCGCGCAUUCUCUCUAUUUAAAUCCAUUCAAAUGCAGAGUGCACGACGAAAGAUCGAAAAAGUUAAUAUGGGACAUUGCAGAGGAAGGAAAAAUCCCCGACGAUCGCCUUCCACAAAAUGGUUCCAUCGCACAAUGGUGAAUUAUCAUUUCAUAAAUAAACAAAUCGACCAUAUACAACACACAACCACGGAACCCUUUUUUCUUGAACAAUCUAUCUGCUCCUGCUUGUGCUCAACGCACUUUUCGAUCGAGCCGGAGAGAAAUGGUUUAAUCCGAAUUUAUUAGAAGCCAGAUAAGGUUUCAAAAAACCCUUCUAACACAGCCGAGCGACGGAGAUCAUGAAUGAAAAACAAUGCACACACAACAACAAUCGGCUGUGUUUGUGUAUGACGAUCCUGGCUCGGGGGUAGCAGCAAAAGCGGCAUGAAUGAAAUUUAAAUGUUGUGCUCAACCGUUUCUCAAGCGACGAAAAGGACGGCAAGACACAUCAUCAUGCACACAACGAACCCAUCCAUAACAUUCCAUAACCCGAGCCCGGCAAAGGACAUCCACUUGAAAUCUCGGCGUGGGAAUCGGCAUAUGUGUUUAUGUGCUGCGUGAAAAAGCCAUUUCCCGCAGGGCCUGCAGCCAUAUGGUUUCCAUCAUUCGUGAAAAUCGUGAGAAGAUGUGCGUUGUGCAGAGCGUUGGUGCCAGGCAUCAUUGGGGACCGUUUUCUUUAAAUACGAUCGAUGAAUGAUCGGUACUUGAAAUGUUCCUUUUUUAAGCCAUCCAUUACCCAACUUCUUGAACCUUGUGUCUGUGCUCCAAGACUCGCUUUAAACGACGAUCAUUACACAGUUCUAGGGAGGAAGACAAUGUUGAUGCGUCUGUACAGUUCCCGGAAAAAUGUAGCCAAACAACCAACGCUGCAGGCCGCUAAUAUGCUCUGCACUUGUCAACACCGGAAACGGACCAGAACCAUUCAUAAAUUGUCCGAUCUUCACCGCUCUGAGCGUUGCUAACAACAGGCCGAGGACCAUAAUUUGAGUGGGAGAGUUUUCGGCAUUUACACUUGUGCCGAGAUGAUCGUUAUUUUUGAUUAGUGUGACGAUACGACACAAACCAAAACACCAACACCAUCCUAAGAUACAAUAAAAUCCCUCUUCGCUCUAAUGUAAGUGGAGAAUCAUGCUUGCAAUCGUAAGAAAAAGGAAUUUCUUACGAAAUAAUGUAAUGGGUUUCUUUUGCCGAACGGGCCUGGGACUACGGAGACGAAAUCCUUCCUAGAAGGACGGCACAAUCCAGUCUGAGAAUGGGAAACGAUAAUCGGUUGGGACCUGCGCUAACGGUAUAUAUCUCUGAUCCUGGAGGGCAAAAGGCGCACCAUCCAAGAUCUAUUGUUGGCUGCCGUCUAUCGGUCAGCUAACGUUUGCCAAGGUCACAAAUGAUGACUAAAAAUAAAGCUAAUAUAGAUUAGAGCGUGUUUUGUAUUGUGCAAGUGCCGCAAUCAUUAUCGAAUUUUGAUCGAUUCUUCUUAUUCUUAGAUAGCGCAACCAAUUAGUGGGUAAGGUAAGAAUGUUAAUAACACUGGACGUAGUUUCCUGCACAUUAUCUGAACAUACGAAAUCGAUUGGUCUGUGUCGAAAUUUGUCAAACAAGGUUUUGCGAUUCAUCCACAGACUGCAGGACACUUUCCCGAUUUGUUGUGAGUCAGUCAAUGUCAUGAUUGCGACACGAUGGAUGACUACGUUGACAAUAUCCGGUGCAGUGGAACUCAAAUCUCUGACUGUAGCACAUUUCUCGAAAUGUCAAAUCUUACGUUUUGAGCGCGAGGAAGUGAACCAACAGUCAUGGAUUUCAGUUCAUCCAAUGCCAAAUAACGUCAUCGUUUCCAAGCAACAGCGGCGUAGUCAUCGGAUUGACUCAAAUUGGAAAAGUGUCACAGGGUCUUGAAUUGAAUAGCAUAAUCCUUGUAUGUUGUUCUUGCACUAUAAGAACCCGGUCAAAGGAACUAAAAGUUAAACAGUAUCACAUAUAUUAGACACUAGCCCAUUCCAAGUCAUCGCAAGCCUUUGAACGAAUGCCCCAAGUACCAAUAAAAGGUGGAUUCUAUAAUUUAGAUACCGUCAAUCAGAAGAAAAAGAACGUUCCAAUCAUACUCCUUUAGUGUCUCCCUGCAUUCUACCGUUCCCAGAGCGAUCCCUAAUGCUUCGUUCGGCUCCUCCAUUCUCCACCACCAUAUCCCCGUACCAGUGACGCCAUCAUUACCACCCACCGGAAUGGUUUCCACAGACGAGAGGCGUUACACACGCACGCGGCAUGGCUACGAGAAGUAGAAAACCGAUCGAUAAUGUCUAAAUUUCACACUUCACACGCUCGCCACCGUACCUCAACUCCCUGCCUGAGAAACAUCACCAAAAGCAGGAGAAGAAGAAAAAACACAUAAAAAUACGUUCCUGUCUUCCUCGUUCUCGUUCUCUUCGCACGUCAAAUCGUUUGGCUUCUCGAAGGGGAAACAACACGGGGGAAUCAUAAAAUCUUCCCUGCCUGCCACAAUCACUGUGUAAAGCCGACCUCCUCAGACCCCGUCCCCUCAUCCCCGAAGCGUGAACCCAGCGAGAAGGUGACGAAGAGGUGACGGAAGAGCUGGGAGCAGCCCGCGGCAGUAAAAAGCGGCGCCUGGGCAGGGAAAUUCUCUCACAUACCGACCUCAACGGACGUGUGCAUAACGAAAGGCAGACCCCCGGCCACUCACUCCUCAAUAGCCGAGUGCGAGAAAGAGAGAGUGAGCAUGUCAAGAUCGUGGAGGAGCGAUAUCUUCAAGAAGAUGCAACGUAAAAACCCGCAGACACCAGACACGGGGGGAGUGCAAUCUCAGCACGGAAAGGCAGAGCCGAUUAUGACUUCAAAGCGUUAUUCUUCUUCCUCCUUCGAACGCGAGCUGCUUCCGCCAACGCGUUGUGAAGAAGAAGAAACAAAAAAGCAAGCGAAACAGAGAACAGGAGUCGUAAAAACAGCCACAAAACUUUCCAUGGCUCCUCGCACGUUUCCUUCUUAUCGAUCUCCUCGUGGUCACCGAUGAUGUCGCUCAAAGUUAAAGGCCCCAGCGUACGCGCGCGCAGACAUCUCGAAGCUCACGGUAACCCACGCACACACACACGUCAUCUUUGGUGACUGAAGAGGGUGGUUAAUCAUAAAAAUUUAUGCAUUCCCAUAAACCUUCCAAAGAGUCCGGAUUUGAUGAACGAGUCCGCCGCGCGUGGUUUAUUUUCUUGUUCUCUUUCGUUCGUUGUUGUGGGUGGGCUUUUAUAGACAUCCCCCUAAGAGCAAAACGAUGCAAUGUUUGUGUCCCUUUCACUUUGAUUUGUUCCAGAAGACUGAGAGCGUAGCGGAUUGUAGUUGUGGAGGGAAUGUGAUCAUAAACAGCUAAAAGUAUAAAAAUAUGAUUCUUGAGAAAAUUCAACAUUGCAUACUUUUAGGAGCUUACCACUGUGUUUUACAGCAGCACACAUCAGAAAACUUCAAUGUUUUAUGGAGUCAUUGUGUUUUCUUUGAGCCUUAAAAGGAUACUUUUCGAAGAUGGUGGCAUCCUUUAUCCAAUUAUUGUCACAUAAUGAGGAUAUCUUCUGAUUUGAAGAAUUUGUCAUGCAUUGGAACUUUUCAUGUAAAGUAUUACCGAAGACAAAUGUUCUGGUUAAGAACCAGAAGUGCGAGUUUUUGGAAACUGUUAGCAUACAAUUCCCUGAAGUCCCUGGAUCGCGGCCACUUUUACACGCAGGAAAUCGAUUCUUGCUGCAUCAUCUCCAUUUAAUUGCACACACAUACCUACAUAUAUGCUUUCCCGACCGAAUCUGCAUCCUCACCUUCCACCCAAGUUACGUUCCCACUGGGUCGACUCUGUGUGUGUGCCCUGUGCUACGUGACCAUUCGCGCACAGGCCUCUUUCACUGAGCUUUCUACUGCGACCGGACGGACGGGCUACCGAAAGAAUUCAGGAUGCUCCGGCAAGCAAGCGAGCAGGCGCGAGAAGAUCGAGAAAGCCAGAUCGCUAAAGCGAAGCGAAGGGGAAAAAAGUAAACAAAAUAUCUUAAAAUAUUCCAACGUCUUGAUACGUGUGUUCCGUGUGUUCCGAGAGAAGCCAACGGCAGGCAAGCGAGAGCAGCAGCGAGCGAGAAGACAACGCCAAUCCACCCAGAACGCCAGACAGAAUUCCAGGAAGGACAGAUUUAGCUCUGGCCGCGGUGGCGGCAGUGGCGGCAUCCGCUUUGGAGAGGCCACUUUAUCACCGUCAGCAGCUUGCGUCGUCCCGUACCUCCAGUCGCCGGGUCCUUGCUGUUGUGGGCCUUCGUCUUCCUGUCUGGCCCGAUGAUGCCUUGCUGCUGCGUUCUGUGUCUCGGUGUCCUUACAGGGAAAAAAGGGGCUCCCAAAACCCAACAGCAGGCUUGUGCAAAGGGUAAUGUUUGAGACGGCCAAGAACUGCCUGCCUAUGUUCACACCGGUUCUCUUUUGCCCUUGUCCUUCUGCAAUUGUCGGGCCGUGCUGUUUUGCUCUCUCACUCGCUUUCCUCUUCCAACUACCCACGAACGACGAAUGAUCGCUAACGAGAAAUACGGCGAGAAAACUGAACGAGGAUCAAACAUCGCGCGGCAGGUACAACACAACAAGAUGAUGAUGAUGAUGAUGCUGCACACACCACACGUUCAGUUCAGCAGCAGCAGCAGCCUUUUCUCAUUCUCUGUUUUCGUCCAUUUGCCUCCCAAAAGAUCUCCGCAUCACAGUGCAGUGUGUUCCGGCUGACGGCGGUUGGACGGUGUGAGCCGUCGAGCUCUCCUGUGUCCGUCCCACAAGGGCCCCUCCUUACCUUUCGCGUGGUGCGUUUUGUAUUCCCACCGAAUCAACACAUUCAGCCGACGCACAACAACAAGACUGUAAAUAUGCCCAAGCAUAUCUUAGCUGAGCGGAGCGACCAGACCAGAGAGAUGCAGCCAGCAGAAGGUGAUGGCCGGAGGUGGUGGCGAUGGUUUACACAGUGCAUUCCAGAAAACCAGUUACCUGUGGUCCCCGGUGUGCUUUCGCCCUGGGCCAGAAGCGUUGGGCAUGACCGGUCGAUGGUUUUGCUUCUGGGAGUUCCCGAAACCCGGUGCGCGUCCUCGCCUCUCUUCCCGGGAGUGCCGGUUUAAGCACUCGAGCGCACUGAAACGUGCCCGAGCAUAGUCUGACUUUGAACAGAUAUGCGGUUACGGGAAAAGCUUUAGCGGUGGAUGGGAAAUUCCAUUACAAAUCAGGUCGCUUGACAAUGAAUUAUCAUUUUCCACAAUACCAAGUUACCACUACGAGUAGACUACUUUAGUAGCAAGAAUUUUACUCCUAACAAUACAAGCAGCACAACAGAAGAACUCAAAUAACUUGAAAACUUCGAAAGAUCUUCAAUGAGCUUACGACAUUCACAAGACUCCACAACAUCUUUCACCCAAAAUACCCCUAUAUACCUGAGCCACGAUCGGUUCACGAUCGAUCAGAGGACAUUAAUCUUCAUCUCCUGGCGUGAGAUAGAGGCGCACAUCAAACGGCCAACCGGCCGCCGGCACCUUCGCCCGGCAUCGCAGGAAAAAGCCCAUUGUUGGGCAGGAAGCGGAGGGCGAUAAAGAAUAAGCCACCAUCGUCCAAUGCCACGAAGCGCACAACAAAACCCCACCAGGAUCGGUAAAAGGAGCGAAAGAAGAAAAGCCAACAACGCGCAGCAUCCUCUUGACGCAACGGAGAACACCGGUCAAAAUAUCGAUCAACCGAUCAGGCAGUAUUCGAUCGAAAACGAUCAUAAAAACUUGAACCCUUAACUGGGGGCGGCGAUUAAGGCACACCACCCUUGCAUCCUCUCCUUCCAAUCCGUCCCAUUCCAGCUGUUGCAGGAGGGCGUGCUGUGAUCGGUAAUGGAUCAUCGGAUCUCGAUCGGUGGGGGGAGAGAACGUUUCUAUAGCACAAUAUUGGGAACCAUUCUGCUCUCUCUCUUACCUUCGCUUCGUGGAUCGAAAACCGUCCGUUUUUCUUUUAUGUUUCGUUCCUCCGCAAAGGCUACAAGACGAGGCUUUAAGGGUGCUGCCCGUUUUCCUUGAGAGUUUCCCAGUGAUCGAUAAACGGCCCUUGGCCAGUUCCGAGAAUUCUUCGCUCGCCCUGACCACCCGAACCGACAAAUUCUUCAGCGGCUUUUCACUACUGCUGCCAGAGGUUGCCGCUGACGAAUGACUCUGCGCUGAUCAUCGAUCGAUCGAUCGUAAAAUAAGCGAUCGAGGAGAGUGAGGAGUAAUUAACCGGUGGGUUCUCCCUUCGCUCGAGACGUUUAUCAGCUGAUGGGUCCGUUUGGUGGGAGUAGCAUUUUGGAAAGUUUCUUCUUUUAUGGUGUGGCUCAAGAAUGUUUUUUGGUUUGGGAAAAUGCCUUCAAGAAAGAAACAUUCUUGCUGAUAAGAAUGUGUUUAACGAUUCAAGGAAGAAGAAUUCGAUGUACCUUGUUCUUUAAAUGCUUUCGAGAGACAUGGCGAUAAACAUGCUUCGGUUUGCAAUUAAUGGCUCUAUUAAACGUAUUGGUUGGGUCAACUUUCUACAGGUUUUUUGAGUUCCCAAACCAUGUUUCAGCAGAACAGGUAUGUGUAUAACUGUCACUUAUAAGCCACAAGUUCUUGUCCUUACACACACACACAAAAUCGAGGUCUCCUAACGGACCCAUCAUCACAUUCAGUCAAUUCGGAAUUGCCAACAACUACUCGGGGACGGCGUCUUUUGCGUCGAUAAAAGCAAAUGUAAAGGCACCCGAUGCUCGCGAUCGAGGUGACAUUUCAUGCCAUGUGUAUUAGUGUGUGUUUGUGGUACAGUUUUCUUUUUUGCAAUUCAAUUUCUGUGCGCAUUCACUUCCUCGACACACACACCCCGUUGACCACCACCGCCGAGACACGCUGCACUUUUCAUUUUUCAUCCAUUCUUCCACCGAACGGGAGAAAGAGGCUCGGUGAAGGGAUUCGAUCGCGAUUCGUACGCAGCAGACGACGCGCGCACAGCGCCGCAUUCUCUUGCGUUCGGUGCACAUGCACUUGGCGAAGUCGUUUCCAGUUAGGUCACACUGCUGCUGCCGCUGCCCUUUCUCUUCCUUUGGCACCCACCUUCCUUUCACACGAUCGUUCCCUUCAACCAAGCACACGAUCGUUCAGCGAAACGGGGUUUUUCGCUGCAAGUACAGUGUUGUGUUGGUUUUUUUAAUGGUACUAGACGUUUUUUCCAUCCCCAUUAUUCCCAGCAAUCUAUUUGAAAGCAGCAAGCGAUCAAAUCAAUUGAUAAAUUGCAAUCCGCAGCACAAUUGCAUGAAUAAAUAAAUAUUAACGAUCAAAAUACGCCGAUCCGGUAUUUCUAGCGGAAGAGAAAGGAAAACGUACUUAAACACAAACACACUUAACCCUUCCUUUAUUGGCUUAAGGGGGUUAUAUGGGGGAAGAAAAGAUGAGCCAACAUCGCUCAUUGGGCUUGCCGUUUUGUUUACGGGAUUUUGCAUCCCAAGCAGCAAUUCACACACCCCAAUGCCACACGAGUGAGGCAACGAUCAUCAUCAUCACCUUCGAAAACCGUACCCAACCCCCACAGAAGCACCCACAAUAAGCAAAAACAAAUUGUUUACUGGUGAAAAACGAUGAGAUCACCAACCAGCUCAACUCUCUCAUUUGCUGGCCAUGUGAGUUCGGGUUUUGAAACGUGAUGAUGUAUUUAGCUGAUGGCGCAGCAGGAACGUGCGUUUUGCGCUCGAAUAAUUUACUGCCUUUUCAGCGGCCAAGGCGCACAAAGUGAAACAAAGUGUGUGUUAAAAAAACAGCUCGUUUUCGUUUUGGUGAGUUGGCGCCUGCAUGUAUGCAAUUAAUGCGUAAAACUAAAUUUAAAAAAUCGCUCUCCAAAGCGGCACAUGAAAAGCGAACUAGACACUUCGAUAGAGCGAACAAAACACAUUCAUUGUGUAGGCCCAACAACGAGGAGGGGGAUGAUGGGGGAGGAUCACGCAUUCUUCUCGACCUCAAUCAUUAAACAAUUCCGCCGUGCACACUCUCUGUUAGUAAACAGCGGCGAACCUAACAAACACACUACCACAGUUACAGAUACGGUCGAUUGUCGUCGUCGCGGGGGUAAACAGAACCAUCAUCACGUCAUAUUUUGAUUGCCUGGCGCAAUUAUCACAUUCCUUCGUGUUGCUGGUGCUCCAAGCCAUACUCACACACACACACACACAAGAAACUCCAACCACCCGCCGGGGGGAGGGCAAAAGGGCCUUUUCCAAAUGGUGCCCCGCGUGGCGUUUGAGGGAAGGAAAAAUUAAAAGAGAAGUGUAAAAACACAACCGAUGGAAUGUUCCGUCGAGCGAUUGGUUGCAUGUUGCUGUUCGGUUCAAUAUUGUGCGAACCAACAAAAAAAUCAUCGUUUGUGAGAGACUAUAUGGGCCCCACACAACCACUACCAUACGUCAGCAAAACGGCAUGGGGGGCUCCGGUCGGUCGUCGUUUGUAACCAUUCACACAUUGGGGCCCCAGAUCUCACGAACACCGACAAUCAAUGAAAUGCGCCGUGUUGCGUGCGGAUCGUCCCGUGCCCAACCUUUCGGCAACAACCCUGUGUCUCCCGCUGCUUUGCCAUCCGUUUCCUCCACCUUAUUCGCGUUCAUUAUGGGGUACAACAACUGGGCAGAGCUCACACGUUCGUGCGCUACACAUACACACGCAAUGGGGAAUUGGUAGAGAGCGCAGGCCAGAUGACCUGGACAAACUCUCCACCACCGUCCCACGGACUGUUGCCCACUGCUGUUAACCUCUAUUGCGUUUUGCAAAUGACUUUCGACGGUCCAGAAGGUGCAAUUUGUUGAGUUAAAGAUAGCUAAAAUGCAAUUAACAAAAGUAAAUAAUUAAAUAAAUGUAGAACAGAUGUAAUUUUGCACAAAAUGGACCUAAAAAUGAUAAAGAAAUAUAAAUUCCGCAGAAACCAAUCACUCAAAAUGAAUAAGUACAUUAGUAAAAUGAAACAACAGACGCGCCAUCUGUUAUGGAAUAGCUGUACUAAACGUGUUUAGUACUGCUUGUUGGGAGUUAGAAGAGGAUGGUGUUGUUGUUGAAGCCUAUAUAUAAGUCUUUAAGUAUAAUAUAAAGCAGAGGAAUUCCCGCAAACCCCAGAAUCAUUACUUCGGAAAGUAUGAACGUAAGUGGGAAGAUAGUUCCACAAAGAUAGUAACACAUCGAUAGGCCGAAACAGUUCCCAGACAGACUCGCUUUGUGGGCCGAAAGGCAAUGUCAGCGAGCGUGCGCGCCUCGCCUUAAUGCCACACACCUACGAGAAGUCCCAGGCACAAAGCACAAAGUGCGCCUCGUUAGGGCAAUCCCUUUUCGAGUAGUCAUCUGUCUUCUCCAAAGCCUCUCGCAAACACACAAAGCCUUCACCAGCCAACAGAUCCGAAGAGCUAUGCUCCGGUUUUUGCUGCUGCUGCUGUCGCCUGUCGGCAUAGCUCCAGAUUUAAGAAAAGGGUUCACAACGUGUAACGGGAGAACCCCCAAGGGGAGAAGACACGACCAACGGAUGUUUUUUGUGUUUCACCAACUCUUCUCGGGGCACCCACUUGGACCGUGGGCCGGGUAAAAUGUUGAAGCCCGGAGACCACCGUAAAAUGGUAAUCGAACGCCAAACGAAAGGACCUGGAUGCCUGGGUAGGAAGGCAGCAAAAGUCAAUUUUCAAGGGAAAUAAUAACAGUCGGCAAAAGUAGAGAGAAAAACUCGGUGCGCCCUUUUGCCGAGCGUUACAGGACCACACAGCGAACACGAGCACCACAACAGCGACUUGUCCCCUGGAGGCAAUUCCUAUCCAACACAAGCGUGCAUAAAGCAUCUUCACCGAUUCAGCUCGCUUUUGGUUGUAAAACAAUAAUUCCCAAUUACAUGAACGAUCGCUAACAUGUGUUAGUAAGACGUUUUAUGGCUAACAAUGAACAUAAGUCAACAUAUUUCCAUAAUGUCUGUAACAAAUGAGAAGCUAUGUCCAAAUAGGAAUUAUUCGCGUAGUUUAAUGCAAGUAUAGCAUAUUUUGUUCAAUACUAAACUUAAUGUUCAACACCUUCAGCUAAAUCGUAAAGCUUUCUCUUCGACCAUUCGACCAGCCCUUUUGACCUUUUAUGCAAUCGGUUUCGUGGCCGGGGAGGCACCAAAAAGGAAAUCGUGUACAACCGCGAAACGCCCAACCCUUCCACACGCACACACACACGCUCAAGGAGAGCAAGAGCCAUACUCCCGUCCAAAAACCCAUUAGACAUUCCAACGGCCGGAGAACACAAGGAAGAAAGAAGCCAGCAAAAAGGCAACAAGCACAGAGCAGCAAGAAGCGGAGAAAUAAAAAACCCUCCCGCCAACAUUGAAGAAAGGGCUCCGUGAUCUCGUGCAGGCACGCGUGGGGAGAGCUGGGAAGGAGCGAGCGGCUGGCUUAUGCUUCUCUUAUGCUGGGCCCCGGGAUGCUGGGGCCGCUCGAAAUCGAGACCGUGAGAACGCUCGAAUUCGUCUCGUUUGCAAAAGAAGUUCGCCUCCCGCUCCAGUUCCUUGUCCAAUCCUCCUUCCCCUUCUGCCUUGCGCUGCAGUGUGGCGUUUCGUUUCGGCCAAUGUUUUUGCCCCGUUUAACACAUAAACCAAAGGCAGAGACUUGGGUGCAUUUGGUGGGCUUCGCGGGAGCUCGAUUUUAGCUGAAAGGGCUUACAGGGCAGAAACAGAUCUCGAUUGGAUAAUCAGAAUGCUGCUGCCUGGGAGCUGGUUGGGGCUUGGAGGUUCGCGUGGUGGUAUGAAAAUAAAACACACACACACACACAGGAAGAUCCAUCCUUCGCUCGGGUGAUGGUAGAAAUGCAUAAAGCCCCAUCUUCGUGUCCUUUCUGUACCCCGUCCCGUUGCGCCUACGGGUGUAACGUUUUUGCAUUGGAAUCGGCAAAAACCUACACGUCCUCCUCUCUUUGCCGUCUCCGGUCUCGCGUUGGUUCAGCGGGGGGUGUUUCGCUUGUCGCGGGUAUGACUCAAAUGUUGUUCUCCAUGCGGCGUCAGGCUGGGCGGCUGGGUGAUGUAAAUUAACAUUGAAGUAAGCCGCGAUUGGUUGCCAGGGAGGCUGUUUAUGGGCAAUCAAGCCACGGCCAGCGUAUGUGUGUAGGUUGCCAGACGCAGCGGAGGUGUUGUUUUGGUUACGGAUGAGAUUGUACGCCUUCUGUGAUGCCGUUCACGGGGAGGAUAAUGGAAAGGAACAGUCUUCUCAAUAAUGUACCUAAAAUUUGCUCAAAAAUUAGCAGCCUUAUCAUGAAAUGGAAAUUGUUUUGAGAAAGCCAAGCUAAGACAAUUUGCAGUAAAGUGCAAACCAAAGUUUACUGCACCAAGAGGAGAAAGUCUAAAACUAAACAGUGGAAAUCGAACUUUCUCCAAUGUGACAAAAAGGGAUCACGUUUCCAGCGCUAGUGCUGGGAUGGGGCUCCCUUUUACAAGGCGGAUGUUGCAAUAUCUCGUACAUUUACUUAUGAUUUUACUCCCUGCUUGAAUGUUCAACGACAUGGAGCUUCAACAAAACAAAACCAAACAUAGCUCCCACCAAAAAACACGAUUAGAAAUGUCUUCUCUCUCCAGGUGUGUGCCAACGGUGCUGUGGGGGAUAAAAAACCGCCAGCCUGGCAUUUUUUUACUACGCUUCACACAUUUUUACUAUACUCGCAAAACCGGUUUUUUGUGCGAGGUUCGCUAGCUUUAAUACCGUGCUGUAUAUACCUUGCUUCAAACGACCUUAAACGGUACGUCAUCGCAGCAGUUAAAAAAAACCUACCACACACACUCGCAGACACACAGAAACACACACACUUCACGCAAAACUGGUAUGCGAAGCGAUCGAGUGUCUGUGUGGUCAUGCGAGUUGCUCAUGUAUAAUUCCAGGAAGUAGCCAACGCUGCUGAUCAUCCUUGGUUGUACUGUUCUGCAAAUGCUCAACAUAAAGCAGGCACGCAGCAAACUAUGGACGAGCAGGGUUUACCAAUUGAUCCAAUUUCUGAUUUUCAGACCAAAUCAUGCAAAAA